Molecule: transfer RNA, 82 nt
Filed under: Candidatus Minthocola equi
Lineage: Bacteria; Bacillati; Bacillota; Clostridia; Lachnospirales; Lachnospiraceae
Description: tRNA-Leu
Rfam family: tRNA
About the family: Transfer RNA (tRNA) molecules are approximately 80 nucleotides in length. Their secondary structure includes four short double-helical elements and three loops (D, anti-codon, and T loops).
Source: RNAcentral
GCGGAUAUGGUGGAAUUGGCAGACACGCAAGAUUUAGGUUCUUGUCUCGCAAGGGGUGCAGGUUCAAGUCCUGUUAUCCGCA